GAGAAGGAGAUGACGGAUCUCUUCUCUGCUGAAGGAGGAGGUGAAGAGGCUUCAAGAAACUGAGGUAGAGGAAGGAGGACUCUUCCAGGAAACACACACACACACAUUAAUGAUAACAUUUCCACACACUUAAUAAAGGUUAAAAAAAAAAAAUCAUUCCAGUAAGGGCGCAUGCAUUACAUUUCUUUAUGCUGGAUAUAUGGUGCUGUCUGGUAAAAGUGUACAGUUGCAACCAGGAAUCUGUUUUGUAAAAGCUUGCCCUGUGCUGUGGGUCUUUGUGAUUCCCUUAGUAUAAGACAUACUCAGCUGUAAUGUUAUAAACCUGCCUAGCAACUCAUUACAUGUUCCUUCCGAUGGAGACUCUCCCUGUGUCUGGUGUUAGUUAGACAUUCUUGCCGGGCUGCAUACAGUUCCUGAUGCUCUUUACACACAGACGCACAGUUUAAGCAUAUAAUCAAACAAAGGCUAGUUUUUCUACAUCAUUCAUAGUUAUGGUUUAACUGCGUACAGUGAUAGAGGUGUGUACACGUGCAGACAUGAAACUUUAGCGCAUGCAAUAAAAGUGAAAGUCACAUUUUUAAA
Long non-coding RNA from Limanda limanda (common dab), 582 nucleotides. RefSeq lists it as uncharacterized. The transcript has 2 exons. The record is from RefSeq and is a predicted model, not a curated record. NCBI's taxonomy places the organism in Eukaryota, Metazoa, Chordata, Actinopteri, Pleuronectiformes, Pleuronectidae.